Molecule: long non-coding RNA, 265 nt
Filed under: Solanum tuberosum (potato)
Lineage: Eukaryota; Viridiplantae; Streptophyta; Magnoliopsida; Solanales; Solanaceae
Description: long non-coding RNA (STUB_LNC005270)
Source: RNAcentral
CAGGAACGCAAGCUAUAAAUACUUAUCGACGUUGUCAAGUGUCUUGUUGAUGUGGCCGUAUUUGACAAAUCAGAGUAUCUUACACAAGCAAAAAAAAAUUGUCGAUGUCAUCAAGUUUCUUCCUGAAAUUUGAUUCGAAUUAUUGAUGUCAUCAAGUUUCUUCCUGAAAUUUGACGAAUCAAAAGAUAUAUUCCGUGAAUUAGGUAAGAGGGAGCACACUUUUUUUUGAAGCUAUAUAACUUUUUCCUUUUCGUUUCAAUGUAAA